AUGCAAAAGCAUGAGCAGGCCGAGGGUCCUGCUAACGGACGGCUGCCGGAUCAUUGGACGAAGCCACCGUUGGGCUGGAACAAGCUUAAUGUAGAUGGUGCUUAUGCCAUGAAGGCGGGCACGGGAGGCGCUGGCAUGAUCUUGCGUGAUGAUGAUGGAGCGAUCAUCUUCGCAUCAAGUCGCCAUCUACAUACUUGCAAUAGCCCGCUUGAAGCGGAACUCGCUGCCUGUAUGGAAGGAAUUUCCCUAGCCUAUGAUUGGAGCACCAAGCCUUUUGUUAUUGAAACUGACUCGCAAGUUGCAGUAAACAUGAUCAUGCAGCCAGAGACGAAUCGAUCGCCGACGGUUGCCAUAAUGGGUGAAAUCAAGAGUCUACUUAAGCAGAGUAGAGAGUACUCUGUAGUGCAUGUGCAUCGUUCAUGUAAUAAUGUAGCACACCGGCUAGCUCAGAUAGGGCAUCAUCAUGUGCGUACGGCAGUUUGGCUACGGUCUGGACCAAAUGAGAUUGAGUAG
RNAcentral lists this ribosomal RNA (513 nucleotides) under Triticum aestivum (bread wheat). RNAcentral's name for it is "partial small subunit ribosomal RNA". Lineage: Eukaryota; Viridiplantae; Streptophyta; Magnoliopsida; Poales; Poaceae. The record is from RNAcentral.